This 1377-nucleotide ribosomal RNA is filed under the name uncultured bacterium. RNAcentral describes it as "bacterial SSU rRNA". It matches the Rfam family "Bacterial small subunit ribosomal RNA", at positions 18 to 1396 of the family's 1533-position model. The record is from RNAcentral.
CCUGGCUCAGGAUGAACGCUAGCUACAGGCUUAACACAUGCAAGUCGAGGGGCAUCAGGGUGUAGCAAUACACCGCUGGCGACCGGCGCACGGGUGAGUAACACGUAUCCAACCUGCCCUUUACUCGGGGAUAGCCUUUCGAAAGAAAGAUUAAUACCCGAUGGCAUAACAUGACCUCCUGGUUUUGUUAUUAAAGAAUUUCGGUAGAGGAUGGGGAUGCGUUCCAUUAGGCAGUUGGCGGGGUAACGGCCCACCAAACCUUCGAUGGAUAGGGGUUCUGAGAGGAAGGUCCCCCACAUUGGAACUGAGACACGGUCCAAACUCCUACGGGAGGCAGCAGUGAGGAAUAUUGGUCAAUGGGCGAGAGCCUGAACCAGCCAAGUAGCGUGAAGGAUGACCGCCCUAUGGGUUGUAAACUUCUUUUAUAUGGGAAUAAAGGGUGCCACGUGUGGCAUUUUGUAUGUACCAUAUGAAUAAGGAUCGGCUAACUCCGUGCCAGCAGCCGCGGUAAUACGGAGGAUCCGAGCGUUAUCCGGAUUUAUUGGGUUUAAAGGGAGCGUAGGUGGACAUGUAAGUCAGUUGUGAAAGUUUGCGGCUCAACCGUAAAAUUGCAGUUGAUACUGCGUGUCUUGAGUACAGUAGAGGUGGGCGGAAUUCGUGGUGUAGCGGUGAAAUGCUUAGAUAUCACGAAGAACUCCGAUUGCGAAGGCAGCUCACUGGACUGCAACUGACACUGAUGCUCGAAAGUGUGGGUAUCAAACAGGAUUAGAUACCCUGGUAGUCCACACAGUAAACGAUGAAUACUCGCUGUUUGCGAUAUACAGUAAGCGGCCAAGCGAAAGCAUUAAGUAUUCCACCUGGGGAGUACGCCGGCAACGGUGAAACUCAAAGGAAUUGACGGGGGCCCGCACAAGCGGAGGAACAUGUGGUUUAAUUCGAUGAUACGCGAGGAACCUUACCCGGGCUUAAAUUGCAAAUGAAUAUGCCGGAAACGGCAUAGCCGCAAGGCAUUUGUGAAGGUGCUGCAUGGUUGUCGUCAGCUCGUGCCGUGAGGUGUCGGCUUAAGUGCCAUAACGAGCGCAACCCUUAUCUUCAGUUACUAACAGGUCAUGCUGAGGACUCUGGAGAGACUGCCGUUGUAAGAUGUGAGGAAGGUGGGGAUGACGUCAAAUCAGCACGGCCCUUACGUCCGGGGCUACACACGUGUUACAAUGGGGGGUACAGAAGGCCGCUACACAGCGAUGUGAUGCCAAUCCCUAAAGCCCCUCUCAGUUCGGAUCGAAGUCUGCAACCCGACUUCGUGAAGCUGGAUUCGCUAGUAAUCGCGCAUCAGCCACGGCGCGGUGAAUACGUUCCCAAGGCUGUACACACCGCCCG